Molecule: ribosomal RNA, 587 nt
Filed under: uncultured bacterium
Lineage: Bacteria
Description: bacterial SSU rRNA
Rfam family: Bacterial small subunit ribosomal RNA
Source: RNAcentral
GACGGGGACCCGCACAAGCGGUGGAGCAUGUGGUUUAAUUCGAAGCAACGCGAAGAACCUUACCAAGUCUUGACAUCUCCUUGACCUAGUAUGUAAUGUACUAUCUCUUCGGAGCAAGGAUGACAGGUGGUGCAUGGUUGUCGUCAGCUCGUGUCGUGAGAUGUUGGGUUAAGUCCCGCAACGAGCGCAACCCUUGUCCUUAGUAGCCAGCAGUUCGGCUGGGCACUCUAGGGAGACUGCCGGGGAUAACCCGGAGGAAGGCGGGGAUGACGUCAAAUCAUCAUGCCCCUUAUGACUUGGGCUACACACGUGCUACAAUGGCGACUACAAAGAGAAGCGAAGGAGUGAUCCGGAGCAAAUCUCAAAAAGGUCGUCCCAGUUCGGAUUGUAGUCUGCAACUCGACUACAUGAAGCCGGAAUCGCUAGUAAUCGCGAAUCAGAAUGUCGCGGUGAAUACGUUCCCGGGUCUUGUACACACCGCCCGUCACACCAUGGGAGCCGGAAAUGCCCGAAGUCUGUGACCCAACCGCAAGGAGGGAGCAGCCGAAGGUGGAGCUGGUGACUGGGGUGAAGACGUAACAAGGUGG